Long non-coding RNA from Oncorhynchus tshawytscha (Chinook salmon), 361 nucleotides. The record is from Ensembl. NCBI's taxonomy places the organism in Eukaryota, Metazoa, Chordata, Actinopteri, Salmoniformes, Salmonidae.
GGGCCAGUAGACUAGUGGUUAGAGUGUUGGGCCAGUAGCCUAGUGGUUAGAGUGUUGGGCCAGUAGCCUAGUGGUUAGAGUGUUGGGCCAGUAGCCUAGUGGUUAGAGUGUUGGGCCAGUAGCCUAGUGGUUAGAGUUUUGGGCCAGUAGACUAGUGGUUAGAGUGUUGGGCCAGUAGACUACUGGUUAGAGUGUUGGGCCAGUAGCCUACUGGUCAGAGUGUUGGGCCAGUAGCCUAGUGGUUAGAGUGUUGGGCCAGUAGCCUAGUGGUUAGAGUGUUGGGCCAGUAAGACUAGUGGUUAGAGUGUUGGGCCAGUAGACUACUGGUUAGAGUGUUGGGCCAGUAGCCUAGUGGUUAGAG